UAUUCUGCCCUACAGGGAAGGAUGAGAAGCUUCGAUUAAGGUUCGACUCGAGCGAAGCGAGAGAACGUUGCCGCAGGCAACGGCCCGAAGGGCGAGGCGCUUUAGCGCCGAGUAAUCCUUCCCCCACCACCA
RNAcentral lists this small RNA (132 nucleotides) under Klebsiella pneumoniae. Its description in RNAcentral is "RtT sRNA". It matches the Rfam family "RtT RNA". Rfam says of the family: This family represents a bacterial cis-regulatory element known as RtT RNA. The exact function of RtT is unknown although it is thought that it may be involved in changing the cellular response in relation to amino acid starvation. The record is from RNAcentral. Lineage: Bacteria; Pseudomonadati; Pseudomonadota; Gammaproteobacteria; Enterobacterales; Enterobacteriaceae.